GACGAACGCUGGCGGCGUGCUUAACACAUGCAAGUCGAACGGAAAGGCCCUGCUUUUGUGGGGUGCUCGAGUGGCGAACGGGUGAGUAACACGUGAGUAACCUGCCCUUGACUUUGGGAUAACUUCAGGAAACUGGGGCUAAUACCGGAUAGGAGCUCCUGCUGCAUGGUGGGGGUUGGAAAGUUUCGGCGGUUGGGGAUGGACUCGCGGCUUAUCAGCUUGUUGGUGGGGUAGUGGCUUACCAAGGCUUUGACGGGUAGCCGGCCUGAGAGGGUGACCGGCCACAUUGGGACUGAGAUACGGCCCAGACUGCUACGGGAGGCAGCAGGGGGGAAUAUUGCACAAUGGGCGGAAGCCUGAUGCAGCAACGCCGCGUGCGGGAUGACGGCCUUCGGGUUGUAAACCGCUUUCGCCUGUGACGAAGCGGGAGUGACGGUAAUGGGUAAAGAAGCACCGGCUAACUACGUG
RNAcentral lists this ribosomal RNA (468 nucleotides) under uncultured bacterium. RNAcentral's name for it is "partial 16S ribosomal RNA". It matches the Rfam family "Bacterial small subunit ribosomal RNA", at positions 28 to 507 of the family's 1533-position model. The record is from RNAcentral.